This 748-nucleotide ribosomal RNA is filed under the name Chirocentrodon bleekerianus (dogtooth herring). Its description in RNAcentral is "partial 16S ribosomal RNA". It matches the Rfam family "Bacterial large subunit ribosomal RNA", at positions 598 to 1847 of the family's 2925-position model. Lineage: Eukaryota; Metazoa; Chordata; Actinopteri; Clupeiformes; Pristigasteridae. The record is from RNAcentral.
CUCGUACCUUUUGCAUCAUGAUCUAGCCAGUACCCCUAAGCGAAGAGGCCUCUAGUUUAAUUUCCCGAAACCUUACGAGCUACCCCAAGGCCGCCCAAAAAGGGCAAACCCGUCUCUGUGGCAAAAGAGUGGGAAGACCUUUAGGUAGAGGUGAAAAGCCUACCGAGUAGGGUUAUAGCUGGUUACUCAGAAAAUGAAUAGAAGUUCAGCCCUACAGCCCGCCUCGUACCAGACCACAAUAAGUAAACGAGCCAUCUGUAGGAGUUAGUUAAAGGAGGUACAGCUCCCUUAACAAAGGAUACAACCUUCAACAGGAGGCUAAGGAAUAUAAAUAGUAACCAAGGCCCUAAGUUAUAGUAGGCUUAAAAGCAGCCACCUAAACCAAAAGCGUUAAAGCUUAGACCCAGACAAGCCUGAUAUUCAAUUUAAUUCUCCAAUGCCCCAACUCCUUACUGAGUCAUUUUAUGUCCCCAUAAAAGAGCUCCUGCUAGAACUAGUAAUAAGAAGUUUAAACUUCUCCUUGCACCAGUGUAAAUCGGGCCGGACAACCCGCCGAUGAUUAACGAACCCAAAAACAGAGGGCCCUACGUACCCAUCAUCUAACUCAAGAAAAAUACGUUUCACCCAAUCGUUACCCCAACACAGGAGUGCACAAACUUAAGGAAAGGCUAAAAGGUUAAAAAGGAACUCGGCAAACCAAAACCCCGCCUGUUUACCAAAAACAUCGCCUCCUGCUAACCAAAGUAUA